Molecule: long non-coding RNA, 443 nt
Filed under: Betta splendens (Siamese fighting fish)
Lineage: Eukaryota; Metazoa; Chordata; Actinopteri; Anabantiformes; Osphronemidae
Description: lncRNA (ENSBSLG00000002415.1)
Source: RNAcentral
AUGUGGACCUGCUCGCUGGCUCUGGCCGCCGUGAUGCUCGUCUCUACGUCCACAGCUCGAUCACCGUUUAUAGCAAGCCAUUGUUGUUAUAAAACCUCUUCAAAACAGAUCAAGGGAGACAUCAGGACUUGUUACAGAGUGGGGGUGCGUGAUGGCUGCAGGAUAGAAGCCUACGCGCUUGAAAUGGUCCAUGGUAAAACGUACUGUGUCAAAGAGACUCAACGAAAUCUCCAACAGUAUUUGAAGAAAAACCCGUGUCCUUCAGUUAUCUCCAAGAAACGCAGGCUUAAAGAUGCAGAUUUAAAGGCCAAUCGCUGACUGUUACUGCUUGAUGCUCUAUCAAAAAAAUUUGUAUUUACUGGCAUUAAUUAAAAACUGUCAAGCCUGAAAAAAUAACAUCUUACAUGUGAAAAAAUAAAAUGCAGAAAUGAAAAGAAGAGUCA